AUUGAACGCUGGCGGCAGGCCUAACACAUGCAAGUCGAGCGGUUGAGGUAGCUUGCUACCGAUACAGCGGCGGACGGGUGAGUAAUACAUGGGAAUCUGCCUGGUAGUGGGGGACAACGUUUCGAAAGGAACGCUAAUACCGCAUACGCCCUACGGGGGAAAGGGGGGGAUCUUCGGGCCUCUCGCUAUCAGAUGAGCCCAUGUCAGAUUAGCUUGUUGGUGAGGUAAAGGCUCACCAAGGCGACGAUCUGUAACUGGUCUGAGAGGAUGAUCAGUCACACUGGAACUGAGACACGGUCCAGACUCCUACGGGAGGCAGCAGUGGGGAAUAUUGGACAAUGGGCGCAAGCCUGAUCCAGCCAUGCCGCGUGUGUGAAGAAGGCCUUAGGGUUGUAAAGCACUUUCAGUGGGGAGAAAGGCCUUUUACUUAAUACGUAAGAGGAUUGAUGUUACCCACAGAAGAAGCACCGGCUAACUCCGUGCCAGCCGCCGGGGUAA
Molecule: ribosomal RNA, 498 nt
Filed under: uncultured bacterium
Lineage: Bacteria
Description: partial 16S ribosomal RNA
Rfam family: Bacterial small subunit ribosomal RNA
Source: RNAcentral